Molecule: ribosomal RNA, 475 nt
Filed under: uncultured organism
Description: partial 16S ribosomal RNA
Rfam family: Bacterial small subunit ribosomal RNA
Source: RNAcentral
GUACACUCCUACGGGAGGCAGCAGUGGGGAAUUUUGGACAAUGGGCGAAAGCCUGAUCCAGCAAUGCCGCGUGAGUGAAGACGGCCUUCGGGUUGUAAAGCUCUUUUGUCAGGGAAGAAACGGUGAGAGCUAAUAUCUCUUGCUAAUGACGGUACCUGAAGAAUAAGCACCGGCUAACUACGUGCCAGCAGCCGCGGUAAUACGUAGGGUGCAAGCGUUAAUCGGAAUUACUGGGCGUAAAGCGUGCGCAGGCGGUUUUGUAAGUCUGAUGUGAAAUCCCCGGGCUCAACCUGGGAAUUGCAUUGGAGACUGCAAGGCUAGAAUCUGGCAGAGGGGGGUAGAAUUCCACGUGUAGCAGUGAAAUGCGUAGAUAUGUGGAGGAACACCGAUGGCGAAGGCAGCCCCCCGGGUCAAGAUUGACGCUCAUGCACGAAAGCGUGGGGAGCAAACAGGAUUAGAUACCCCAGUAGUCCCA